Long non-coding RNA from Gorilla gorilla gorilla (western lowland gorilla), 560 nucleotides. RefSeq lists it as uncharacterized. The record is from RefSeq and is a predicted model, not a curated record. Lineage: Eukaryota; Metazoa; Chordata; Mammalia; Primates; Hominidae. The transcript is spliced from 3 exons.
GCAAGAGGGAGAAUUAUAAUUCUAACUGUUGAAGAGGGCUUCAUAGCAGACUGAACAUUUUAGUGGGUAUUCGUAAUCCAUUCAUCUAUAUAUCCAUCUUUCCCCUACUAUGUUCAAAGCACUAAGCUGGAAGCUAGGGAAAACUUAGAUGAAUGAGAAAAUGGACUCCCUCCGAAGAACUCCAAGCCCAUAGGGGAAAGACACUUAUAGGAUGAAGUAGAGCAAAGGAAGUGGAACUUGGUCUGCAUCUUGCCAAGGAGAAAGACAUGUAAACAUGUCAGUAUGGUUGACCCUUGAACAACACAGGUUCGAGCUGCGCAGGUUCACUUAUACAUGGAUUUUCUUUCACCUCUGCCACCCCUGAGAGAGCGAGACCAACCCCUUCUCUUCCUCCAUCUACUCAACAGGCAGAUGAUGAAGAUGAAGACCUUUAUAUUGAUCUACUUCCAUUUAAUGAAUAAAAUUCUGUCUCAAGAAACAGAGUAUGAGAGAGGAGGACAGCAGAGGGACUGCUAGAGUAUACUGAGGGGGAGAGAUUGAAAGACUGGAACAAACGUGAC